RNAcentral lists this ribosomal RNA (494 nucleotides) under uncultured bacterium. RNAcentral describes it as "partial 16S ribosomal RNA". It matches the Rfam family "Bacterial small subunit ribosomal RNA", at positions 28 to 507 of the family's 1533-position model. The record is from RNAcentral.
GACGAACGCUGGCGGCGUGCUUAACACAUGCAAGUCGAACGGUGAAGCGCCUUCCUUUUUGGUGGGUGUGGAUGAGUGGCGAACGGGUGAGUAACACGUGAGUAACCUGCCCCCUUCUUUUGGAUAACCGCAUGAAAGUGUGGCCAAUACGGGAGAUUCUGGGCCUGUGGCAUGAUGGGUCUGUGAAAGAUAUUGGUUCGGGGGGGGAUGGGCUCGCGGCGUAUCAGCGUGUUGGUGGGGUGAUGGCCUACGAAGGCGGUGAGGGGUAGCCGGCCUGAGAGGGUGGACGGCCACAGUGGGACUGAGGCACGGCCGAGACUCCUACAGGGGGCAGCAGUGGGGAAUAUUGCGCAGUGGGCGCUAGUCUGAUGCAGCGACGCCGCGUGCGGGAUAGAGGCCUUCGGGUUGUGAACCUCUUUCGCCAGUGAAGCAGGCCUGCCUGGUUUGUGGGUGGGUUGACGGUAGCUGGAUAAGAAGCGCCGGCUAACUACGUG